Molecule: ribosomal RNA, 313 nt
Filed under: uncultured bacterium
Lineage: Bacteria
Description: bacterial SSU rRNA
Rfam family: Bacterial small subunit ribosomal RNA
Source: RNAcentral
GGUGCGAGCGUUGUCCGGAAUUAUUGGGCGUAAAGGGCUUGUAGGCGGUUUGUCGCGUCUGCUGUGAAAAUCCGAGGCUCAACCUCGGACUUGCAGUGGGUACGGGCAGACUAGAGUGUGGUAGGGGAGACUGGAAUUCCUGGUGUAGCGAUGAAAUGCGCAGAUAUCAGGAGGAACACCGAUGGCGAAGGCAGGUCUCUGGGCCACUACUGACGCUGAGAAGCGAAAGCAUGGGGAGCGAACAGGAUUAGAUACCCUGGUAGUCCAUGCCGUAAACGUUGGGCGCUAGGUGUGGGACUCAUUCCACGAGUUC